Molecule: transfer RNA, 75 nt
Filed under: Schistocerca americana (American grasshopper)
Lineage: Eukaryota; Metazoa; Arthropoda; Insecta; Orthoptera; Acrididae
Description: tRNA-Pro
Rfam family: tRNA
About the family: Transfer RNA (tRNA) molecules are approximately 80 nucleotides in length. Their secondary structure includes four short double-helical elements and three loops (D, anti-codon, and T loops).
Source: RNAcentral
GCGUCGGUAGCUCAGUUGGUAGAGCACUUGCCCCCGGAAGGCAAAGGUCCCGAGUUCGAGACUCGGUCGGGCACA